This 99-nucleotide transfer RNA is filed under the name Corynespora cassiicola Philippines. It matches the Rfam family "tRNA". Rfam says of the family: Transfer RNA (tRNA) molecules are approximately 80 nucleotides in length. Their secondary structure includes four short double-helical elements and three loops (D, anti-codon, and T loops). Further hydrogen bonds mediate the characteristic L-shaped molecular structure. tRNAs have two regions of fundamental functional importance: the anti-codon, which is responsible for specific mRNA codon recognition, and the 3' end, to which the tRNAs corresponding amino acid is attached (by aminoacyl-tRNA synthetases). tRNAs cope with the degeneracy of the genetic code in two manners: having more than one tRNA (with a specific anti-codon) for a particular amino acid; and 'wobble' base-pairing, i.e. permitting non-standard base-pairing at the 3rd anti-codon position. The record is from Rfam by way of RNAcentral. Lineage: Eukaryota; Fungi; Ascomycota; Dothideomycetes; Pleosporales; Corynesporascaceae.
GGUGAGAUGGCCGAGUUGGUUAUGGCGCCAGGUUAAGGUCUUCUUAACAUCUAAUUCCUGGUCACGAAAGUGGCGUGGGUUCGAGUCCCACUCUCAUCA